GGAAUCGCUGCCAGUACUGCCGGCUACAGAAGUGCUUCGAAGUGGGCAUGUCCAAGGAAGCUGUGCGAAAUGACCGUAACAAGAAGAAGAAAGAAGUGAAGGAAGAAGGGUCACCUGACAGCUAUGAGCUGAGCCCUCAGUUAGAAGAGCUCAUCACCAAGGUCAGCAAAGCCCAUCAGGAGACUUUCCCCUCGCUCUGCCAGCUGGGCAAGUAUACCACGAACUCCAGUGCAGACCACCGCGUGCAGCUAGAUCUGGGGCUGUGGGACAAGUUCAGUGAGCUGGCUACCAAGUGCAUCAUCAAGAUCGUGGAGUUUGCCAAGCGGUUGCCUGGCUUUACAGGGCUCAGCAUUGCUGACCAGAUCACUCUGCUCAAAGCUGCCUGCCUAGAUAUCCUGGUAAGUUAGGCCCUGUGGGUCCUGCCACAGCCCGACCCGCAUAUGGGACCCUCCACAAUUCCUUGAUCCAUGCAAAGAUUUCCUUACCCUGCACCCCCUGCCACACAUGCGGGACUCCU
RNAcentral lists this small RNA (517 nucleotides) under Pongo abelii (Sumatran orangutan). Its description in RNAcentral is "retained intron". The record is from RNAcentral. Lineage: Eukaryota; Metazoa; Chordata; Mammalia; Primates; Hominidae.